Molecule: non-coding RNA, 417 nt
Organism: Camelina sativa (false flax)
Lineage: Eukaryota; Viridiplantae; Streptophyta; Magnoliopsida; Brassicales; Brassicaceae
Source: RefSeq, a predicted model, not a curated record
UGCAUCUGCAUAAAUGUUCAUGGUAACUCAUCGGUUACAUAAAGACAAAGUGCAUUCCAUUUGUAUCUCCAUAUUUAAGCCUUGUCUUUACUAAUUAUAUGAUUUCAUUGCAGGCCUGAAUAUAUACUUUUGGUUAUCAUUCAUCCCUGCCAUUCUUGUCAUCUUGGUUGGAACCAAACUAGAGCACGUUGUCUGGAAACUUGCUCUCGAGGUUAAGGAGCAGCAGACAUGCACAACUAAUGGGGUUCAAGUCAAACCACGUGACAUACUCUUCUGGUUUGGGAAACUAUCUUUUUGAAUGUAUUUAUAACUCUCUGUUUGAGAGUUUAAAACUCUAUCUUGUUUGAGUGUAUGAUAUUAAACUAAGUUUAACAUUAAUUGUAAUUGUGUAUGUUUUGCAAUUUAAUUUUUUACAUA